CCUACGGGAGGCAGCAGUGGGGAAUAUUGGACAAUGGGCGAAAGCCUGAUCCAGCCAUGCCGCGUGUGUGAAGAAGGCCUUCGGGUUGUAAAGCACUUUCAGUGGGGAAGAAAGCCUUGGGGCUAAUACCCUCGAGGAAGGACAUCACCCACAGAAGAAGCACCGGCUAACUCCGUGCCAGCAGCCGCGGUAAUACGGAGGGUGCGAGCGUUAAUCGGAAUUACUGGGCGUAAAGCGCGCGUAGGCGGUCUGAUAAGCCGGUUGUGAAAGCCCCGGGCUCAACCUGGGAACGGCAUCCGGAACUGUCAGGCUAGAGUGCAGGAGAGGAAGGUAGAAUUCCCGGUGUAGCGGUGAAAUGCGUAGAGAUCGGGAGGAAUACCAGUGGCGAAGGCGGUCUUCUGGACUGAUACUGACGCUGAGGUGCGAAAGCGUGGGUAGCAAACAGGAUUAGAUACCCGGGUAGUC
Molecule: ribosomal RNA, 465 nt
Filed under: Vreelandella stevensii
Lineage: Bacteria; Pseudomonadati; Pseudomonadota; Gammaproteobacteria; Oceanospirillales; Halomonadaceae
Description: partial 16S ribosomal RNA
Rfam family: Bacterial small subunit ribosomal RNA
Source: RNAcentral